This 440-nucleotide ribosomal RNA is filed under the name uncultured bacterium. RNAcentral describes it as "partial 16S ribosomal RNA". It matches the Rfam family "Bacterial small subunit ribosomal RNA", at positions 338 to 795 of the family's 1533-position model. The record is from RNAcentral.
CCUACGGGGUGCAGCAGUGGGGAAUAUUGCACAAUGGGGGAAACCCUGAUGCAGCGACGCCGCGUGAGUGAAGAAGUAAUUCGUUACGUAAAGCUCUAUCAGCAGGGAAGAAAAUGACGGUACCUGAGUAAGAAUCCCCGGCUAACUACGUGCCAGCAGCCGCGGUAAUACGUAGGGGGCAAGCGUUAUCCGGAUUUACUGGGUGUAAAGGGAGCGUAGACGGUGCGCCAAGUCUGGAGUGAAAUGGUGCAGCGUAACUGUGGAAUUGCAUUGGAAACUGGCGAACUAGAGUGCGGGAGGGGUAAGCGGAAUUCGUAGUGUAGCGGUGAAAUGCGUAGAUAUUAGGAGGAACACCGAUGGCGAAGGCAGCUUACUAGACCGUAACUGACGUUGAGGCUCGAAAGCGUGGGGAGCAAACAGGAUUAGAUACCCUGGUAGUC